RNAcentral lists this ribosomal RNA (245 nucleotides) under uncultured bacterium. RNAcentral's name for it is "partial 16S ribosomal RNA". It matches the Rfam family "Bacterial small subunit ribosomal RNA", at positions 524 to 768 of the family's 1533-position model. The record is from RNAcentral.
UACAGAGACCUCGAGCGUUAUCCGGAUUGAUUGGGCGUAAAGAGUGCGCAGGCGGCUUUUUAAGCCGGCGGUUAAAUUUUCCAGCUUAACUGGGAAACCGCCGCCGGAACUGGGAAGCUAGAGUGUGGAAGGGGUGAGCGGAAUUGCCGGUGUAACGGUAAAAUGUGUUAAUAUCGGCAAGAACACCAGAGGCGUAGGCGGCUCACUAGUACAUCACUGACGCUGUUGCACGAAAGCGCGGGUAG